This 452-nucleotide ribosomal RNA is filed under the name uncultured bacterium. RNAcentral's name for it is "bacterial SSU rRNA". It matches the Rfam family "Bacterial small subunit ribosomal RNA", at positions 29 to 526 of the family's 1533-position model. The record is from RNAcentral.
AACGAACGCUGGCGGCAUGCCUAACACAUGCAAGUCGAACGAAGGCUUAGGCCUUAGUGGCGCACGGGUGCGUAACGCGUGGGAAUCUGCCCUUGGGUUCGGAAUAACAGUGAGAAAUUACUGCUAAUACCGGAUGAUGACUUCGGUCCAAAGAUUUAUCGCCCAAGGAUGAGCCCGCGUAAGAUUAGCUAGUUGGUGAGGUAAAGGCUCACCAAGGCGACGAUCUUUAGCUGGUCUGAGAGGAUGAUCAGCCACACUGGGACUGAGACACGGCCCAGACUCCUACGGGAGGCAGCAGUGGGGAAUAUUGGACAAUGGGCGAAAGCCUGAUCCAGCAAUGCCGCGUGAGUGAUGAAGGCCUUAGGGUUGUAAAGCUCUUUUACCAGGGAUGAUAAUGACAGUACCUGGAGAAUAAGCUCCGGCUAACUCCGUGCCAGCCGCCGCGGUAACAC